Molecule: ribosomal RNA, 473 nt
Filed under: uncultured organism
Description: partial 16S ribosomal RNA
Rfam family: Bacterial small subunit ribosomal RNA
Source: RNAcentral
UACACUCCUACGGGAGGCAGCAGUGGGGAAUUUUGGACAAUGGGCAAAAGCCUGAUCCAGCAAUGCCGCGUGAGUGAAGAAGGCCUUCGGGUUGUAAAGCUCUUUUGUCAGGGAAGAAACGGUGAAAGCUAAUAUCUUUUGCUAAUGACGGUACCUGAAGAAUAAGCACCGGCUAACUACGUGCCAGCAGCCGCGGUAAUACGUAGGGUGCAAGCGUUAAUCGGAAUUACUGGGCGUAAAGCGUGCGCAGGCGGUUUUGUAAGUCUGAUGUGAAAUCCCCGGGCUCAACCUGGGAAUUGCAUUGGAGACUGCAAGGCUAGAAUCUGGCAGAGGGGGGUAGAAUUCCACGUGUAGCAGUGAAAUGCGUAGAUAUGUGGAGGAACACCGAUGGCGAAGGCAGCCCCCUGGGUCAAGAUUGACGCUCAUGCACGAAAGCGUGGGGAGCAAACAGGAUUAGAAACCCCUGUAGUCCC